Molecule: ribosomal RNA, 530 nt
Filed under: Bifidobacterium dentium
Lineage: Bacteria; Bacillati; Actinomycetota; Actinomycetes; Bifidobacteriales; Bifidobacteriaceae
Description: bacterial SSU rRNA
Rfam family: Bacterial small subunit ribosomal RNA
Source: RNAcentral
CGGGUGGUAAUGCCGGAUGCUCCGGUUGGAUGCAUGUCCUUCCGGGAAAGAUCCAUCGGUAUGGGAUGGGGUCGCGUCCUAUCAGCUUGAUGGCGGGGUAACGGCCCACCAUGGCUUCGACGGGUAGCCGGCCUGAGAGGGCGACCGGCCACAUUGGGACUGAGAUACGGCCCAGACUCCUACGGGAGGCAGCAGUGGGGAAUAUUGCACAAUGGGCGCAAGCCUGAUGCAGCGACGCCGCGUGCGGGAUGGAGGCCUUCGGGUUGUAAACCGCUUUUGAUCGGGAGCAAGCCCUUCGGGGUGAGUGUACCUUUCGAAUAAGCACCGGCUAACUACGUGCCAGCAGCCGCGGUAAUACGUAGGGUGCAAGCGUUAUCCGGAAUUAUUGGGCGUAAAGGGCUCGUAGGCGGUUCGUCGCGUCCGGUGUGAAAGCCCAUCGCUUAACGGUGGGUCUGCGCCGGGUACGGGCGGGCUGGAGUGCGGUAGGGGAGACUGGAAUUCCCGGUGUAACGGUGGAAUGUGUAGAUAUC